CAGCAAAUCAGCUGCCUUGCUCCAACACUCUGGCAAGAACUUGGAUUUCAAACUAGUGAAAGAACUAGGGCAAAGGAUUGGGACUCUGGAAGAAAACAGGAAAAUGACAGAGAACCCUGUUUAAGCAUGGAAGGGACAGGAGGCACAGGGGAACCGGAGGUGGGUGGGCCCUGUCCACAGUGAGGGCACAUGCCCAGCGCCCCUGCAGGGCUGCUCAUUCCAUCCACUCACAGAAACCACCACCACAGCGACCCUCACGUUGCUGCUGCUCUGCCCAGGCUCCCCGAGCAGAGCGAUCUUUCAGCUUUAAUGCUCCUCCCCUCCCGCACCUCGGUGACACACACAGGGCCCGGUGAAUAGAGGACGUUUAAUAUUUCUGUGCUGGUCAAACGGAACACAGGUGGGGAAUACAUGGGGAGGGGGCGGAGGGCCCCCUGCCUCUCAGGAGGGGUGGCUUGUGAGGGGUGUAUGCGGGGGUUCUUGGGAAAUAUCCAAGGAGUCUUCUCAGUAAAGGGGCCAGGCCAGGGGUGUUAUGAGCAUCCGAUAGGCCCAGUCCUUGGCCUUGAGUUGGGGGUCCCCCAUAGGGGGUCUGUGGAGAGUCUGACUUUUUUCCAGCUCUUUUGCUAGAAUCCACACUCCCAGCACGACGGGUGACUUGGUCCUAGAGAGGGGUCUGGAGAGCCCCCAGGAAGCAGCCCAGGGUCAGGGAGAAGGGCUCCCGUGCCCACUCCUGAGGGGGUGAGAGCCCACUUUCUCCCCUCCUUUCUCCUUCCCCCAGGCUGGGCAGGAGCGGAAGGGAGGGGGGCAGGGCCCUGCCUCCACUGAGCCCCAGGGUCCUCGGGGUGGAUGGAGGAGGGGUGGAGAGAGAAGGUCUUGGCCACCAACAGACACUGUAAACUUUGGUUUAAAACAAUAACUUAAGUGGAGGGAGGGCUCCAGCCUGGGGCCGGGGUGGGAGACUGGGAGGGCAGGUGCUGGGGAGGCGACAAAGGAAAAAGCCAACAAAAAGUUUUGGUUUUUGCUUCCGGCAUAAGAAAGGUCUUUGGUCAUCCGUUUAACUGGGGGGGCGGCGGGGGGAGAGGCGGGCAAGGAAGGGGAGCUGAGGGUGACUGCAGAGGAAGGGGAGCUGAGGGAGGGUGAGAGGACUGCAGAGAGGCCUGCAGGCUGGAUGUGAGUGUGGAGCCGGGGUCCAGCCUGGCCUUCCCCUGGGCUCCCGGCCCAGGCUCCCGCCUCUGGCCUCAGGGAGAGCUUGGCUCCACCUGCAGAAGCGCACCUGGCACAGACCUCUGUGGGUGAGGCGGUACCAGGCCUCUUCCCAUGGGGGCGGCUGGAGGAGCCCCCAGCAAACGGGGGUGGGGGUGGAGGCCUGGCUCAGCCUGGUUCUGUCUCAGGUUGGGGGCGGGUCUGGAGCCAGGUGGGCCUGCUCACACGGACCCCCACAGGGCACACAGACAGUCCCACCCCAGCAGCAGAGGGGGCUGUUUCUUCUGGGGAUGGAGGCACAGUUCCUCCACCCAGGCCAGGGCAGGGUGGGAGCUGGGGUGGAGAGUUCUUUCUUCACAGUACGGAAAAGAAGGCGAAAGGGAGCACGAGUUAGGAAAGUGGGGGCCUCUGGCCAGAAAACACGGCCAGAGCCAGGUGCCAGGGGGCCCUGGGUUUGAGAGGGGUGGCUAAGCCCCGCCUGCGGGUCUCCAUGAUGCUGAGGGGCCCUGUGGGGAGAGCUGGUGGGGGAGGAGGGCCCUGCUGCUGCUGGUGGUUGGGGGGAGGCGGUUUCAGAUGUGGGGAGGGUCUGAGGAGGGGUCUGAACCCUCUGUGUCCUCUACUGGUCCAAGACCAGGGGUUGUGUCCCUGGGGGUGGCGACCGUCCCUGCCCCUACGUGUUUUUGUCAGGUCACACUGGGAGCUGCUGGCCCGGGCCUCCCCCGUCUGAGUCCUGGACUUGCCUUGAGGCUCGGGAGGGGCUGUGGAGUUGGGGGAGAUGGGGCCUGGAUUCUGGAAGGGAGGGGUCUCACCCCAGCCCUGCCGGUCACUACAGGCCCUUAGGACAGUUCUUCUCCCGGCAGCUCCUCCUCCAGGUCCCUGUCUUCCGGAGGCCCCGAGGCGCUGGGGUUAGGGGCGCCUAGGGGAGGCCCGGGCUGCCUGUCUUCCUCUGCCUCUGCCGGCUCCUCCUUCACCUGCACCUGGUGGCUGAGGGCUGAUCUCCCCUAGGGCUCUCUUCAAAGAAAAGCUGGUCCUGGG
This 2238-nucleotide long non-coding RNA is filed under the name Pan troglodytes (chimpanzee). RNAcentral's name for it is "long non-coding RNA NONPTRT015133". The record is from RNAcentral. Lineage: Eukaryota; Metazoa; Chordata; Mammalia; Primates; Hominidae.